This 183-nucleotide small RNA is filed under the name Crocodylus porosus (Australian saltwater crocodile). Its description in RNAcentral is "TUC338 (ENSCPRG00005019041.1)". Lineage: Eukaryota; Metazoa; Chordata; Crocodylia; Crocodylidae. The record is from RNAcentral.
ACAGCCAGCCCUGGAGACUGAACUCCUGCAUUAUUCACGGAACGGGUACAGCACAAGCAGUGGGAGUGAGGGCUUCCCUCAGCUCUGCAUGCAGAUGCGCUUGUGCCUCAGCCCCGUUCUGAAGGAACCUGUCAGGACAGUAGGAGAAAGUCAGAUCCUGCGACCAUUUGAUGUUGGAUCUGU